This 571-nucleotide ribosomal RNA is filed under the name Enterobacter cloacae. RNAcentral's name for it is "bacterial SSU rRNA". It matches the Rfam family "Bacterial small subunit ribosomal RNA", at positions 551 to 1122 of the family's 1533-position model. The record is from RNAcentral. Lineage: Bacteria; Pseudomonadati; Pseudomonadota; Gammaproteobacteria; Enterobacterales; Enterobacteriaceae.
AUUCUGGGCGUAAGCGCACGCAGGCGGUCUGUCAAGUCGGAUGUGAAAUCCCCGGGCUCAACCUGGGAACUGCAUUCGAAACUGGCAGGCUAGAGUCUUGUAGAGGGGGGUAGAAUUCCAGGUGUAGCGGUGAAAUGCGUAGAGAUCUGGAGGAAUACCGGUGGCGAAGGCGGCCCCCUGGACUGAGACUGACGCUCAGGUGCGAAAGCGUGGGGAGCAAACAGGAUUAGAUACCCUGGUAGUCCACGCCGUAAACGAUGUCGAUUUGGAGGUUGUGCCCUUGAGGCGUGGCUGCCGGAGCUAACGCGUUAAAUCGACCGCCUGGGGAGUACGGCCGCAAGGUUAAAACUCAAAUGAAUUGACGGGGGCCCGCACAAGCGGUGGAGCAUGUGGUUUAAUUCGAUGCAACGCGAAGAACCUUACCUGGUCUUGACAUCCACAGAACUUUCCAGAGAUGGAUUGGUGCCUUCGGGAACUGUGACACAGGUGCUGCAUGGCUGUCGUCAGCUCGUGUUGUGAGAUGUUGGGUUAAGUCCCGCAACGAGCGCAACCCUUGUCCUUUGUUGCCAGC